CUACGAACAACAAGAUUUGAACUUGUACAGAGUAUAAUCCCUAAGAGCACCUGAAGCUCUCGCGUCUACCAGUUUCGCCAUGUUCGCA
This 88-nucleotide transfer RNA is filed under the name Coelastrum sp. F187. RNAcentral's name for it is "tRNA-Leu". Lineage: Eukaryota; Viridiplantae; Chlorophyta; Chlorophyceae; Sphaeropleales; Scenedesmaceae. The record is from RNAcentral.